RNAcentral lists this ribosomal RNA (254 nucleotides) under uncultured bacterium. Its description in RNAcentral is "partial 16S ribosomal RNA". It matches the Rfam family "Bacterial small subunit ribosomal RNA", at positions 524 to 776 of the family's 1533-position model. The record is from RNAcentral.
UACGAAGGGGGCGAGCGUUGUUCGGAUUUACUGGGCGUAAAGAGCUCGUAGGCGGCUUGUCGCGUCGACUGUGAAAACCCGUGGCUCAACCAUGUGGUCUGCAGUCGAUACGGGCAGGCUAGAAUUCGGUAGGGGAGAGUGGAAUUCCUGGUGUAGCGGUGAAAUGCGCAGAUAUCAGGAAGAACACCCGUGGCUAAGGCGGCUCUCUAGUACGGUACUGACGCUGAGACGCGAAAGCGUGGGGAGCGAACAGG